AUUAUUUCUUGGCCUUUUGGCUAAGAUCAAAUGUAGUAUCUGUUCUUUUCAGUUUAAUAUCAUUAUGUCCUUAAAACUGUAUAUAUGAAAUACAUGAAAUUUGAUUUCUU
This is a small nuclear RNA of Oryctolagus cuniculus (rabbit), 110 nucleotides long. Its record names the gene U2. It matches the Rfam family "U2 spliceosomal RNA". From Rfam's summary of the family: U2 is a small nuclear RNA (snRNA) component of the spliceosome (involved in pre-mRNA splicing). Complementary binding between U2 snRNA (in an area lying towards the 5' end but 3' to hairpin I) and the branchpoint sequence (BPS) of the intron results the bulging out of an unpaired adenosine, on the BPS, which initiates a nucleophilic attack at the intronic 5' splice site, thus starting the first of two transesterification reactions that mediate splicing. Lineage: Eukaryota; Metazoa; Chordata; Mammalia; Lagomorpha; Leporidae. The record is from Ensembl.